This 425-nucleotide ribosomal RNA is filed under the name uncultured prokaryote. RNAcentral's name for it is "bacterial SSU rRNA". It matches the Rfam family "Bacterial small subunit ribosomal RNA", at positions 356 to 774 of the family's 1533-position model. The record is from RNAcentral.
UAAGAAUAUUCCGCAAUGGACGAAAGUCUGACGGAGCGACGCCGCGUGGAUGAGGAAGGCCGAAAGGUUGUAAAGUCCUUUUGCCGAUGAAGAAUAAGCGUGGGAGGGAAUGCCUGCGUGAUGACGUUAGUCGGUGAAUAAGCCCCGGCUAAUUACGUGCCAGCAGCCGCGGUAACACGUAAGGGGCAAGCGUUGUUCGGAUUUAUUGGGCGUAAAGCGUGUGUAGGUGGUUUAUUAAGUAUAAAAUUAAAGCCCGAGGCUUAACCUCGGUUCGUUUUAUAAACUGGUAGACUUGAGUAUGGUAGAGGCAAAUGGAAUUUCUAGUGUAGCGGUAGAAUGCGUAGAUAUUAGAAGGAACACCAGUGGCGAAAGCGAUUUGCUGGGCCAUUACUGACACUGAGACACGAAAGCGUGGGGAGCAAAUA